RNA transcript from Vigna radiata var. radiata (mung bean), 3438 nucleotides. It is a transcript of the gene named casein kinase 1-like protein HD16, with no coding region annotated. The record is from RefSeq and is a predicted model, not a curated record. NCBI's taxonomy places the organism in Eukaryota, Viridiplantae, Streptophyta, Magnoliopsida, Fabales, Fabaceae. The transcript is spliced from 18 exons.
AUGCCUCCAUCUAUAUCCCUUUGUCGUUUCAUUCCCUUCCUUCUUCCAUCCUCCUUGGUGUUCCUUUAUAACUUCUGCCGAACAGAUCGUGUAUUCCCGGCGACGAUUCUAGAACCUUCAUGAAUCUUCCCACGGCGACGGCGCUCUCCCUCUUUAUGGCCUUACAAAGCCCUCAAAAGCACAAUCCCCCUCACCAUGACUGAACUCCGAAGCGGAAGAAACCGGGAAACGUUCCAUGACCCAAACCCAAACCCGAACACAAAAGCCCGCCAGAGAAGAACGAGAAGAACCGCUGUCAACCCCGGGAGGUACAAUCGCAACACACUCGAGCGUUGUAGAAUCGGUAACCGUGAGUUAGGAGAGAAGGAGCCACAACAGCAACACGCGCCUCUGCUUAGGGUUUCGGAAGAAGGUAAAGAGAAAGACAUGGAUGAUGAGUUCGAUAGCGGCGGUGGCCGGAGCCCCGACAAGGCUGCGCCCGCCGAAGACGAAGGAAGCACUGCUCCCAUUCCCGAGAGGGUACAGGUAGGUGGUUCUCCGUUGUACAAAUUAGACAGAAAACUUGGGAAGGGAGGGUUUGGACAAGUUUACGUAGGUAGGCGAGUUGGGGCUGGUGCCGGAGCGUUAGAGGUAGCUUUGAAGUUUGAACAUAGAAGCAGUAAGGGGUGCAAUUAUGGACCUCCAUAUGAGUGGCAAGUUUACAAUGCAUUGGGUGGUAGUCAUGGUGUUCCUCGUGUUCAUUACAAGGGACGGCAAGGUGAUUACUAUGUUAUGGUCAUGGAUAUGCUUGGCCCUAGUCUGUGGGAUGUCUGGAAUAACAACUCAAACACAAUGUCUGCGGAAAUGGUGGCAUGUAUAGCAAUUGAGGCCAUCUCCAUAUUAGAGAAGAUGCAUUCUAAAGGGUAUGUCCACGGUGAUGUAAAACCUGAGAAUUUUUUGCUUGGCACCCCUGGAACUGCUGAUGAGAAAAAGCUUUUCCUAGUUGAUCUUGGUUUAGCAACCCGUUGGCGUGAUAGUUCAACUGGCUUUCAUGUUGAGUAUGAUCAACGUCCUGAUGUAUUUAGAGGAACAGUUCGAUAUGCUAGUGUGCAUGCUCAUCUUGGUAGAACAGGAAGCAGGAGAGAUGAUUUGGAAUCUCUUGCUUACACAUUGAUUUUCCUUCUUCGUGGCCGGCUACCUUGGCAAGGAUACCAGGGAGAAAAUAAAGGAUUUCUUGUGUGCAAGAAAAAGAUGGCAACCUCACCAGAAACUUUGUGUUGUGUCUGUCCUCCACCUUUCCGGCAGUUUGUGGAAUACGUAGUGAAUUUGAAGUUUGAUGAAGAACCAAAUUAUGCGAAGUAUAUAUCACUUUUUGAUGGAAUUGUUGGACCAAAUCCAGAUAUCAGACCCAUAAAUACCGAAGGUGCACAAAAGCUUAUAUAUCUGGUUGGACAUAAGAGAGGACGGUUAACUGUGGAAGAAGAUGAUGACGAACAACCGAAGAAGAGAGUAAGAAUGGGAAUGCCAGCAAUGCAAUGGAUUAGUGUGUACAAUGCCCGCCGACCAAUGAAGCAAAGGUACCAUUACAAUGUUGCUGAUGCGCGGUUGUCCCAACACAUUGAAAAGGGAUAUGAGGAUGGGUUAUUUAUCAGCAGUGUAGCUUGUUGUUCUAACCUAUGGGCACUUAUUAUGGAUGCUGGCACUGGUUUCACUGCUCAAGUUCAUGAACUCUCACCCCACUUUCUUCAUAAGGAAUGGAUUAUGGAACAGUGGGAAAAUAAUUAUUACAUCAGUGCAAUAGCAGGAUCUAAUAAUGGGAGCUCAUUGGUUGUAAUGUCUAAAGGGACCCAAUAUAUGCAGCAAUCUUAUAAAGUCAGCGAGUCAUUUCCAUUUAAGUGGAUCAAUAAAAAAUGGAGAGAAGGAUUUUCUGUCACUUCUAUGGCUACUGCUGGGAGUAGAUGGGCAAUUGUAAUGUCCCGUGGUGCUGGAUAUUCAGACCAGGUUGUGGAACUUGAUUUCCUGUAUCCUAGUGAGGGCAUUCAUCGCAGGUGGGACAAUGGUUACCGCAUCACUUCAACUGCUGCCACAUGGGACCAAGCUGCUUUUGUUCUUAGCGUCCCAAGAAGAAAACCGACUGAUGAAACUCAAGAGACACUCCGCACAUCUGCCUUUCCUAGUAGUCACGUCAAGGAAAAAUGGUCUAAAAAUCUCUAUAUUGCAUCAAUAUGCCAUGGGAGAACAGUUUCAUGAACUGAGAAAUUGAGACUUCAGCUGACUUUUGACUUUUUGCAUCAAAGUUCCUGUUCUUAGAUGUGCCAUUAUGGAAUCUGGAAUUAUAUCUGACGAAUUCGGUGAACAAAGCUAUUCAGCAUUGAUGUAUGCUAAACCUUUCUUUAUGGACGCCAUCACUUAUCAUAUGAUACCUGUGCUCUGUAUAUCAACUGUAUUAAAAUGCUUAUGAGCAACGUCAGAUUUUGUUCAUUGGGAUGAGUCUUCUGAUGAAAGGAUUGUAGAGAUUUGAACAGUAAUUACUUUGUUGAAGGCGUUGUGUGCAGUUACAUACAGCUGGAUUCUUGACAGAGCACAAUCCUUCAUUUUCCUCUGUAGCCUGCCCUCCUAGUGGUAAAAGUUGGCUAUCGGGGCAGCUCAGCUGUUGUGAUACAGUUAAAGAGAUUGUUGUUACCAUUAUUGAAUUUUAUAUCGCCUGACACUUCUGGAGCAUCUGGAGCAGGUAUUUGUUUCUGCAGCUACUGUUAUGAAAUGUCUGAUAUUUUGUGCUGCUGAAACGUUUGCGUACUUUGAUCUAGAUAUGCCUUUAUAUCGACGGUAUGUUUGAUUUGGCCUGAUGGCACGAGACUUCAGUUCCUGGCAUUUUGGUGGUAAUUGUUUUCUUGCAGUUGUAUGCAUCGUUACUAGUUAGUUGAUUUCCAUGUCUUCUCCUUGAUAAAAUGUGAAGUUCUUAAUGUAGUUAAUUUUCAAGCGAUGUAGUAACGUGCAGAUUUGUAUUUGUUUGUUCAUACUGGAGAGGCCCACACCCUUAAGCAGUGGUGAAGCAGUUGAAGGUACUGGAGCAUUUGGAACUAUUUCCUGUAUGUGAUUCUUUCCUUAAAUAGUUGAACCUUUGGUAGGUAGCAGCGUGGGUGGGGCUUUAGUUGAAUCUGAAGCAAACUCUUUUUUAGUGAUAUUUAACUUGUCCAAAGCUUUCAAAUCAAUCCCGAUCGAGGUCUAGUAGUUUUUUCCCUUGUUUCAAUAUUUUAUUUCAUUUCAUUUGUGCUUCCAUGACACUAAUGAAAUUAUGCAUGAAGGCACUACAAGGCUAAAUGUUAUUUCUGGAAGGCAACUCUGAAGCAAUGCAGCUGUGAGCUUAUUAUGGUGGUCAUGGGUUAAAUGAAUUUACUUGUAGAUGAACGGCAUCCUUGAUCAAUAAAUUAAUUUCUUUGCCCACUCUUCAUUCAUCCA